UUGAUUCGUUUGUGGUUCACCCAGAGAUGCAGAGAAUAAACAGAGCUUUGGAGUCCCUCGGCGGGCGCCUGGGUCCGGCCGCCGCCGCCCGCUGGGGGGCGGCGCCGCCGGGGCGGUCCGCCGAAGCAACGUCGAGGUAUGUUCACGGGGGUUUGGGAGUUGUAAACUCGGUAAUGAUCCCUCCGCUGGUUCACCAACGGAGA
This 203-nucleotide unclassified non-coding RNA is filed under the name uncultured fungus. RNAcentral's name for it is "sequence contains ITS1". Lineage: Eukaryota; Fungi. The record is from RNAcentral.